Molecule: ribosomal RNA, 460 nt
Filed under: uncultured bacterium
Lineage: Bacteria
Description: partial 16S ribosomal RNA
Rfam family: Bacterial small subunit ribosomal RNA
Source: RNAcentral
CCUACGGGAGGCAGCAGUGAGGAAUAUUGGUCAAUGGGCGCGAGUCUGAACCAGCCAAGUCGCGUGAGGGAAGACGGUCCUAUGAGUUGUAAACCUCUUUUGUAGGGGAGCAAAAGACGCCACGCGUGUCGUUCCGAGAGUACCCUAAGAAAAAGCAUCGGCUAACUCCGUGCCAGCAGCCGCGGUAAUACGGAGGGUUCGAGCGUUAAUCGGAAUUACUGGGCGUAAAGGGUGCGCAGGCGGUUGGGUAAGACAGAUGUGAAAUCCCCGAGCUUAACUCGGGAAUGGCAUAUGUGACUGCUCGACUAGAGAGUGUCAGAGGGAGGUGGAAUUCCACGUGUAGCAGUGAAAUGCGUAGAUAUGUGGAAGAACACCGAUGGCGAAGGCAGCCUACUAGGACAUAACUGACGCUCAGGCACGAAAGCGUGGGGAGCAAACAGGAUUAGAUACCCCGGUAGUC